CCUGCCGAAUACACAAUGAGCCACAAGCAAACAGAAUGCCAGAUAUAUAAAAAAAGAUACAAUUAAUUAUGUUUUUUUAAAAAAAAUAUUAUGGGUAAGAGCAAUCUAUACGUCGGUUAUAACAAUAUGCUAGCACAAAUGGUACGACAAUUAUCCUAAAUCCUCACACAGCCUUAUGCUGAAACUGAUAAAACGACCCACGCU
RNAcentral lists this long non-coding RNA (204 nucleotides) under Elaeis guineensis (African oil palm). Its description in RNAcentral is "long non-coding RNA (EGUI_LNC006839)". Lineage: Eukaryota; Viridiplantae; Streptophyta; Magnoliopsida; Arecales; Arecaceae. The record is from RNAcentral.